RNAcentral lists this ribosomal RNA (315 nucleotides) under uncultured eukaryote. RNAcentral's name for it is "partial 18S ribosomal RNA". It matches the Rfam family "Eukaryotic small subunit ribosomal RNA", at positions 1470 to 1796 of the family's 1831-position model. The record is from RNAcentral.
CCCUUAGAUGUUCUGGGCCGCACGCGCGCUACACUGACUGGUGCAACAAGUGUCGCUCCUUGGCCGAUAGGCCUGGGCAAUCUUUGAACGCCAGUCGUGAUGGGGAUAGAUUCUUGCAAUUUUUGAUCUUCAACGAGGAAUUCCUAGUAAACGCGAGUCAUCAACUCGCAUUGAUUACGUCCCUGCCCUUUGUACACACCGCCCGUCGCACCUACCGAUUGAAUGGUCCGGUGAAGCCUCGGGAUUGCGAAUGCUUCGUGCGGACGCGAGAACUUGGCUAAACCUUACCAUUUAGAGGAAGGUGAAGUCGUAACA